This 478-nucleotide ribosomal RNA is filed under the name uncultured bacterium. Its description in RNAcentral is "partial 16S ribosomal RNA". It matches the Rfam family "Bacterial small subunit ribosomal RNA", at positions 28 to 507 of the family's 1533-position model. The record is from RNAcentral.
GAUGAACGCUGGCGGCGUGCUUAACACAUGCAAGUCGAACGAGAAGUGAAGACGGAAACCUUCGGGCGGAAGGCUUUAUUUCGAGUGGCGGACGGGUGAGUAACGCGUGGGUAACCUGCCUCAUACAGGGGGAUAACAGUUGGAAACGACUGUUAAUACCGCAUAAGACCACAGCACCGCAUGGUGCGGGGGUAAAAACUCCGGUGGUAUGAGAUGGACCCGCGUUCGAUUAGCCAGUUGGCGGGGUAACGGCCCACCAAAGCGACGAUCGAUAGCCGAGCUGUGAGGAUGGCCGGCCACAUUGACGCUGAGAAACAGCCCGAACUCCUACGGGAUGCGGCAGUGGGGGAUGUUGCACAAUGGGGGAAACCCUGAUGCAGCGAGGCCGCGUGAGUGAAGAAGUAUUUCGGUAUGUAAAGCUCUAUCAGCAGGGAAGAAAUUGACGGUACCUGAGUAAGAAGCCCCGGCUAACUACGUG